GAUGAACGCUGGCGGCGUGCCUAAUACAUGCAAGUCGAACGAAACUUCUUUAUCACCGAGUGCUUGCACUCACCGAUAAAGAGUUGAGUGGCGAACGGGUGAGUAACACGUGGGCAGCCUGCCAAAAGAGGGGGAUAACACUUGGAAACAGGUGCUAAUACCGCAUAACCAUAGUUACCGCAUGGUAACUAUGUAAAAGGUGGCUAUACUACCGCUUUUGGAUGGGCCCGCGGCGCAUUAGCUAGUUGGUAGGGUAAAGGCUUACCAAGGCAAUGAUGCGUAGCCGAAUUGAGAGGUUGAUCGGCCACAUUGGGACUGAGACACGGCCCAAACUCCUACGGGAGGCAGCAGUAGGGAAUCUUCCACAAUGGGCGAAAGCCUGAUGGAGCAACGCCGCGUGGGUGAAGAAGGUCUUCGGAUCGUAAAACCCUGUUGUUAGAGAAGAAAGUGCGUGAGAGUAACUGUUCACGUUUCGACGGUAUCUAACCAGAAAGCCACGGCUAACUACGU
Molecule: ribosomal RNA, 510 nt
Filed under: uncultured bacterium
Lineage: Bacteria
Description: partial 16S ribosomal RNA
Rfam family: Bacterial small subunit ribosomal RNA
Source: RNAcentral